GCCUCUGUAGCUCAGUCGGUUAGAGCGCUGCACCGGAAUCGCAGGGCCGUAGGUUCAAUUCCUACCAGAGGAC
This 73-nucleotide transfer RNA is filed under the name Paramuricea clavata. It matches the Rfam family "tRNA". Rfam says of the family: Transfer RNA (tRNA) molecules are approximately 80 nucleotides in length. Their secondary structure includes four short double-helical elements and three loops (D, anti-codon, and T loops). Lineage: Eukaryota; Metazoa; Cnidaria; Anthozoa; Malacalcyonacea; Plexauridae. The record is from Rfam by way of RNAcentral.